This 253-nucleotide ribosomal RNA is filed under the name uncultured bacterium. RNAcentral's name for it is "partial 16S ribosomal RNA". It matches the Rfam family "Bacterial small subunit ribosomal RNA", at positions 524 to 776 of the family's 1533-position model. The record is from RNAcentral.
UACGAAGGGAGCUAGCGUUGUUCGGAAUCACUGGGCGUAAAGCGCACGUAGGCGGAUUUGUCAGUCAGGGGUGAAAUCCCGGGGCUCAACCUCGGAACUGCCUUUGAUACAGCAAGUCUUGAGUUCGAGAGAGGUGGGUGGAAUUCCUAGUGUAGAGGUGAAAUUCGUAGAUAUUAGGAAGAACACCGGUGGCGAAGGCGGCUACCUGGACCAGCACUGACACUGAGGCACGAAAGCGUGGGGAGCAAACAGG